This 629-nucleotide unclassified non-coding RNA is filed under the name Hevea brasiliensis (rubber tree). Lineage: Eukaryota; Viridiplantae; Streptophyta; Magnoliopsida; Malpighiales; Euphorbiaceae. The record is from RNAcentral.
CGCUGAUAUUGUUCAAUAUAUCAUCGAGCACGGGGGAAAUGUCCACGCGGCCGACAAUUCGGGACAGACUGCGUUGCAUUGGGCGGCAGUGCGGGGAUCAAUUGCAGCUGCCGAUGUGUUGUUGCAGAAUGGUGCGCGGGUCGAGGCUGCUGAUGUUAAUGGUUAUCGGGCAAUUCAUGUUGCAUCUCAGUAUGGACAAACAGCUUUUGUAAAUCACAUUGUUGCGAAGUAUCAUGCGGACCUUAAUGUACCAGAUAAUGAUGGGAGGAGCCCUCUUCACUGGGCUGCAUACAAGGGAUUUGGUGAUACAAUCAGGUUACUUCUAUUCAGAGAUGCUUUCCAAGGGAGACAAGAUAAAGAUGGUUGCACUCCUUUGCAUUGGGCAGCAUUAAGAGGAAAUGCAGAGGCUUGCACUUUACUUGUACAUGCAGGCACAAAGGAGGAUUUAACAGUAAAAGAUAAUGCAGGACUUACUCCUGCAGAGCUUGCAUCUGAUAAAGGUCAUCUGCAAAUAGCACGUAUACUUUCUAAUGCCCAGCGGUCACAGAGAAAGCAGUGGAAAGACGAGACUUGCCCUGCUAAAAUGGGGCAUAAAGGCUAUGCUCCAAUUCUAUUCUCCGUUGUUGUUG